RNAcentral lists this ribosomal RNA (372 nucleotides) under uncultured organism. RNAcentral's name for it is "bacterial SSU rRNA". It matches the Rfam family "Bacterial small subunit ribosomal RNA", at positions 526 to 896 of the family's 1533-position model. The record is from RNAcentral.
CGGGGGGGGCAAGCGUUGUUCGGAAUUACUGGGCGUAAAGGGCGCGUAGGCGGCCUGCUAUGUCACACGUGAAAUCCCUCGGCUCAACCGGGGAACUGCGUGUGAUACUGGCGGGCUUGAAUUCGGGAGAGGGAUGUGGAAUUCCAGGUGUAGCGGUGAAAUGCGUAGAUAUCUGGAGGAACACCGGUGGCGAAGGCGGCAUCCUGGACCGAGAUUGACGCUGAGGCGCGAAAGCUAGGGUAGCAAACGGGAUUAGAUACCCCGGUAGUCCUAGCCCUAAACGAUGAGUGCUUGGUGUGGCGGGUAUCGAUCCCUGCCGUGCCGAAGCUAACGCAUUAAGCACUCCGCCUGGGGAGUACGGUCGCAAGGCUG